Alosa alosa (allis shad) is the source of this 500-nucleotide long non-coding RNA. RefSeq lists it as uncharacterized. The record is from RefSeq and is a predicted model, not a curated record. The transcript is spliced from 3 exons. NCBI's taxonomy places the organism in Eukaryota, Metazoa, Chordata, Actinopteri, Clupeiformes, Clupeidae.
UUUGGGAAUAGGAACUGCAAGAAGUAGUUUUGACUUUCGAGAUAGCGGCUGGAUAUAGGCCAAAUGCUGUCCAAGCCUUCAAUGUAUGGUGAAGAAGCAGUGCCCCUGGGCUCUCGUCGCCUGUCUGUGGAGGAAAAGUGAGGAUUUUCGGGGUCCAGUCCCUGGGAGUGCAAAUCCCUCUCCGAACAUGACGGGGUGGAGAUGCUCUCUCCCCGGGGGACCAGCGCUCCUCGCCCGCGGCCCUACCUGCACUGGCACUAAUGUAUUCAAACCUGUGUGCGGCGUCUUAAUAACAUGUCGUGCGUGUGCUUAGUGACAAGAUUACCUCAUCAGUGCCCGCCAGUGAGGGAACCGCGCCCGCCUGUCUCUCAUAGCCGGGGCGUUCAACAUGUCUCCCUUCUCAGCGGCGAGCUUCCUUGAUUUACGGAAAUUGUAAUACAUCCAGUAGUUCAAACAAAUCCACCACGCCUCCUUUUCACCUCCUCGAACCUGCUUCCUGG